Molecule: unclassified non-coding RNA, 766 nt
Filed under: Leishmania donovani
Lineage: Eukaryota; Euglenozoa; Kinetoplastea; Trypanosomatida; Trypanosomatidae
Description: gene:LdHU3.27.1700(CDS-product:hypothetical_prote in)
Source: RNAcentral
CUCUUCUCUGUCGUCCCGCCACUCACAGCUCUCCCCGCACCGUGUUUACACCUCUUUCGCUCCAACAAACCGCCCCUUUAAGGAUGUCCUCUGAUUCCGCCGUUGCUGCCCUUUCCGCUGCCAUGACCUCGCCGCAGAAGUCUCCUCGCUCGUCGCCGAAGAAGACGGCUGCGAAGAAGGCCGCGGCGAAGAAGGCCGGGGCGAAGAAGGCCGGAGCAAAGAAGGCUGCGAAGAAGCCGGCGAAGAAGGCUGCGAAGAAGCCGGCGAAGAAGGUCGCGAAGAAGGCCGCGAAGAAGGUCGCGAAGAAGGUCGCGAAGAAGCCGGCGAAGAAGGCUGCGAAGAAGCCGGCGAAGAAGGCCGCGAAGAAGGCCGCGAAGAAGGCCGCGAAGAAGGCCGCGGCGAAGAAGUAAAGCGCGCCAUCAUGCUUGCCCGUGGCUGACUGUACGCUCUUCUGAGGCACACGUGCCCGAAGGCGCAUCAUAGAUCCAUCUCUUUGUUUUUCUUUUUGAGUUUUUUUUUUCCGGGCUCUCUCGUUUUAUUAUUAUUAUUGCAUUUUAUGUUUUUUUUUUGUCUUUUUUGAAUGUCCAGUCAUGCUUUGUCCUUACCUUCAGUGUCUACUUCGUCCGCAGUGCGGGUAACGGACUUUUCCGUGGCGAACGCGGGGCGUUCACCGCUCUGUGUGCCGGCACAUGCUCGUCGAUGUACUGCGGGCAUGCGACCUAGACCGUGAGGUCCCGGGGGUGGGGUAGAUAAAAUGGCGCAGUCG